This 292-nucleotide RNase P RNA is filed under the name Chloroflexi bacterium 13_1_40CM_4_68_4. Its description in RNAcentral is "RNase P RNA component class A". It matches the Rfam family "Bacterial RNase P class A". Rfam says of the family: Ribonuclease P (RNase P) is a ubiquitous endoribonuclease, found in archaea, bacteria and eukarya as well as chloroplasts and mitochondria. Its best characterised activity is the generation of mature 5'-ends of tRNAs by cleaving the 5'-leader elements of precursor-tRNAs. The record is from RNAcentral. Lineage: Bacteria; Bacillati; Chloroflexota.
CGAGCAGGUCAGACGGUCGCGGGAACGAUGAGUUCCUGAGGAAAGUCGGAGCUCCACAGGGCAGGGUAGCGGGUAACGCCCGUCCGCCGUGAGGCGAGGACCAGCGCCACAGUGACGAACCCGCGAGCGAGCGGGGUGAAACGAGGCAAGCUCUAUCCGGAGCAAGGCCGAAUAGGGGGACGAUGGGGUGGCCCGCCCCGUCCCCGGGUUGGCCGCUAGAGACGGUCGGUAACGACCGCCCCAGAAGGAUGACCGUCCUUCGACAGAACUCCGCUUACGGCCUGCUCGGCGC